AAGCCUGGGAAACUGGGUCUAAUACCGGAUAGGACCACGGGAUGCAUGUCUUGUGGUGGAAAGCGCUUUAGCGGUGUGGGAUGAGCCCGCGGCCUAUCAGCUUGUUGGUGGGGUGACGGCCUACCAAGGCGACGACGGGUAGCCGGCCUGAGAGGGUGUCCGGCCACACUGGGACUGAGAUACGGCCCAGACUCCUACGGGAGGCAGCAGUGGGGAAUAUUGCACAAUGGGCGCAAGCCUGAUGCAGCGACGCCGCGUGGGGGAUGACGGCCUUCGGGUUGUAAACCUCUUUCACCAUCGACGAAGGUCCGGGUUCUCUCGGAUUGACGGUAGGUGGAGAAGAAGCACCGGCCAACUACGUGCCAGCAGCCGCGGUAAUACGUAGGGUGCGAGCGUUGUCCGGAAUUACUGGGCGUAAAGAGCUCGUAGGUGGUUUGUCGCGUUGUUCGUGAAAUCUCACGGCUUAACUGUGAGCGUGCGGGCGAUACGGGCAGACUAGAGUACUGCAGGGGAGACUGGAAUUCCUGGUGUAGCGGUGGAAUGCGCAGAUAUCAGGAGGAMCACCGGUGGCGAAGGCGGGUCUCUGGGCAGUAACUGACGCUGAGGAGCGAAAGCGUGGGGAGCGAACAGGAUUAGAUACCCUGGUAGUCCACGCCGUAA
This 660-nucleotide ribosomal RNA is filed under the name Mycobacterium tuberculosis. Its description in RNAcentral is "bacterial SSU rRNA". It matches the Rfam family "Bacterial small subunit ribosomal RNA", at positions 145 to 805 of the family's 1533-position model. The record is from RNAcentral. Lineage: Bacteria; Bacillati; Actinomycetota; Actinomycetes; Mycobacteriales; Mycobacteriaceae.